This 253-nucleotide ribosomal RNA is filed under the name uncultured bacterium. RNAcentral's name for it is "partial 16S ribosomal RNA". It matches the Rfam family "Bacterial small subunit ribosomal RNA", at positions 524 to 776 of the family's 1533-position model. The record is from RNAcentral.
UACGAAGGGGGCUAGCGUUGUUCGGAAUCACUGGGCGUAAAGCGUACGUAGGCGGAUUGUUAAGUCAGGGGUGAAAUCCCGAGGCUCAACCUCGGAACUGCCUUUGAUACUGACUGUCUUGAGUCCGGGAGAGGUGAGUGGAACUCCUAGUGUAGAGGUGAAAUUCGUAGAUAUUAGGAAGAACACCAGUGGCGAAGGCGGCUCACUGGCCCGGAACUGACGCUGAUGUACGAAAGCGUGGGGAGCAAACAGG